This is a long non-coding RNA of Anneissia japonica, 725 nucleotides long. RefSeq lists it as uncharacterized. The record is from RefSeq and is a predicted model, not a curated record. NCBI's taxonomy places the organism in Eukaryota, Metazoa, Echinodermata, Crinoidea, Comatulida, Comatulidae. The transcript is spliced from 3 exons.
GUAAACAUUAGCAUUAACAAACGCCCAGUGAAUAUCUUAUCUUCGGUGGCUGCUAAAAAGCGAUAAAUAUUUUUGUGGUUGUCUGUUACCGUAAUUCAAAUCACACAAAUUUAGCAUCGGCCCAAGCCAUGGUGCCCAAGCUCACCCCCAAGCUCACCACGGCACGGAUUUGCUGAGGCCCUUUUGUUGGCAAGUUACCGUGAAUCCAUGGUAGCCGUAUUGAAUCAAAUCCCCCAAACGUUCAUCCCUCAGAUGCAUGCCUAGAUGAAAUAUUAGCUGGAUCAAUGCGUGUGUCGUUCUAUGGAUUUCUGAUGGCCCUCGCUAAGUCACAGCAAGUUAAUAAUGAAAUAUCUAUCUUGCCAGCACGUGCUAACAUUACGGAUGAUUCCGCCUUCGACGUUGAUCAAGCCAAGCGGUAGAUUCAAAUAAAUAUGCACUGUAUAUAUGUUCAAAGAAAUGUUAAUUAUUUUUUUCAAAAGUUUGGAUGUUUAGAGGUGUACAGAAAUAAUAUUGUUGGAUAUAUUUGCCUAUAAUGUAGAUUUCUUCACAAUAUAUAAAAGUUUGUGAUUUUUUGAUAUACAGUAUUGAUGUUAUGUGCUCACUAUGGGCCUGUUUUGUACAGUGGUGUAAUGCAUAAUGGGCUCUUGAGGGUGGGGGGAAAGCCCUAGCUUCAUCAUUCCAAAGGAGCCAGGAGUGUAUGAAAAUAAAGUUGACUAUGGUUUAGU